This 297-nucleotide unclassified non-coding RNA is filed under the name Hevea brasiliensis (rubber tree). The record is from RNAcentral. Lineage: Eukaryota; Viridiplantae; Streptophyta; Magnoliopsida; Malpighiales; Euphorbiaceae.
GUUUUUUUUUUUUCCUGAUAGAAUGCAGUAUAUGACCUUAAAUUAGCUGACCUAGGGUUAUAGGAAGCUCUGAUAAGUUGUUCUAAUUAAGUCAUAUAAAAAUUUGUUUGAAUGUGAUAAAAUAACGCCAGAAAAUAGUUGAAACAUAUGGCAGAUCAUAACUGAAAAAUUGCGUAAGUUUCCAAAUACAAUUGCAGUGUGAUGCAUCCAGGCUUCCUGCUUACCUCAUUAACUGGUAGCAAUUAUAGGAAGGGCACUUGUGGCAACCACAUAAAAGAAAAAUGAUUUUCUAAAUGU